ACCAUGUGUGGACACAGCAAGAAGGCAGCAUCUAUAAGCUAGGAAGGAGGCCCUCACCAGACUUGGAAUCUGCUGGCUUCCUGAUCUUGGCCUUUCUAGCCUCCAGAACUACCAUAAUCACCAUGAGUGUGGGGACCAUGACGAUUAUUUUACAAAUCUUCAGCUUCUGGCUCAAUACAGGAUGUGAAGUUAAUGCUCAAUAAAUCUGUAACGGUAGAGUUAACGAAUGAAAAUAGUCUGAAGGUUUAUUUCCAAUAACAUAUUCACUUUCCCGAGUUACCCAAUGAAAUAUACACAUAUCGCC
Molecule: long non-coding RNA, 304 nt
Filed under: Homo sapiens (human)
Lineage: Eukaryota; Metazoa; Chordata; Mammalia; Primates; Hominidae
Description: HSALNT0374232
Source: RNAcentral